Molecule: ribosomal RNA, 497 nt
Filed under: uncultured bacterium
Lineage: Bacteria
Description: partial 16S ribosomal RNA
Rfam family: Bacterial small subunit ribosomal RNA
Source: RNAcentral
GAUGAACGCUGGCGGCGUGCCUAAUACAUGCAAGUCGAGCGAACGGACGAGAAGCUUGCUUCUCUGAUGUUAGCGGCGGACGGGUGAGUAACACGUGGAUAACCUACCUAUAAGACUGGGAUAACUUCGGGAAACCGUAGCUAAUACCGGAUAAUAUUUUGAACCGCAUGGUUCAAAAGUGAAAGACGGUCUUGCUGUCACUUAUAGAUGGAUCCGCGCUGCAUUAGCUAGUUGGUAAGGUAACGGCUUACCAAGGCAACGAUGCAUAGCCGACCUGAGAGGGUGAUCAGCCACACUGGAACUGAGACACGGUCCAGACUCCUACGGGAGGCAGCAGUAGGGAAUCUUCCGCAAUGGGCGCAAGCCUGACGGAGCAACGCCGCGUGAGUGAUGAAGGUCUUCGGAUCGUAAAACUCUGUUAUUAGGGAAGAACAUAUGUGUAAGUAACUGUGCACAUCUUGACGGUACCUAAUCAGAAAGCCACGGCUAACUUCGUG